UAAUACGGAGGGUGCGAGCGUUGUUCGGAAUUACUGGGCGUAAAGCGGGUGUAGGCGGUUUGUUAAGUCAGAUGUGAAAGCCCACGGCUCAACCGUGGAAGUGCAUCUGAAACUGGCUUACUUGAGUACCGGAGAGGGAAGUGGAAUUCCUGGUGUAGGGGUGAAAUCCGUAGAUAUCAGGAGGAACACCGGUGGCGAAGGCGACUUCCUGGACGGAUACUGACGCUGAGAUCCGAAAGCGCGGGGAGCAAACAGGAUUAGAUACCCUGGUAGUCCACGCAGUAAACGAUGAACACUAGGUGUAGCGGGUAUUGACCCCUGCUGUGCCGCAGUUAACGCAUUAAGUGUUCCGCCUGGGGAGUACGACCGCAAGGUUA
RNAcentral lists this ribosomal RNA (377 nucleotides) under uncultured bacterium. RNAcentral's name for it is "bacterial SSU rRNA". It matches the Rfam family "Bacterial small subunit ribosomal RNA", at positions 521 to 896 of the family's 1533-position model. The record is from RNAcentral.